This is a long non-coding RNA of Sander lucioperca (pikeperch), 192 nucleotides long. RefSeq lists it as uncharacterized. The record is from RefSeq and is a predicted model, not a curated record. The transcript is spliced from 4 exons. Lineage: Eukaryota; Metazoa; Chordata; Actinopteri; Perciformes; Percidae.
ACAUUCUUAAUAAUCCAUUUUUGAUAAUGUUUUACAUUGAGCACAUCAGUGUUCAACUGGUUCUUAUAAAUGUCUGUUCAUAGGAUGGUUUGUGUGUGUCAUUUGAAAACAAAAUACCAUUUUGAGAAGAAAUAACAAUGUUUAGAAUGUAAAGUUUCAUUUUGCAGGAGAAUUGAGGGGUUUUGCCUAUUG